CGCAUCUGUGCAUGCAGCAUAUCAAUAAGCGGAGGAAAAGAAACUAACAAGGAUUCCCCUAGUAACGGCGAGUGAAGCGGGAAGAGCUCAAAUUUGAAAUCUUAAAGGGUUUCCCUUUACGUAUUGUAGUUUAAAGAAGUGUUUUCUGUUGAGGUUUUGGUAAAAGUUCUUUGGAAUAGGACAUCAUAGAGGGUGAGAAUCCCGUAUUUGACCUUUACUUUCAACUUUGUGAUACACUUUCAAAGAGUCGGAUUGUUUGGGAAUGCAGUCCAAAAUGGGUGGUAAAUUUCAUCUAAAGCUAAAUAUUGGCGAGAGACCGAUAGCGAACAAGUACCGUGAGGGAAAGAUGAAAAGAACUUUGAAAAGAGAGUUAAACAGUACGUGAAAUUGUCAAAAGGGAAGCGUUUGACACCAGUGUUGUUUUUCUGAAAAUCAAUUAAAGAACUGUUUAUGCUAAGCUGUUUAGACUUUAUCAGCUAAUCUGUUUAGUUUUGAGCUUUUCUUUAAUGCACUUUUCAGUUAACAAGUCAACAUCAAUUUCUUUUGCUGUAAAAAAGCUUGAGGAAGGUGGCUUGAGAUUCGUCUUAAGUGUUUAUAGCCUCUUGCCUAUGCAGUCGGAGAGAUUGAGGUCUGCAGCGUAGAUCCUUCGGGGCUAAAUGCAUUUGUGCUAAGUUAUAGCAUUUUAUAGACAACUUGUUGACUAUGAUUUGUCUUGUAGCUUACUCGCUUAUGUUAUUUUACCUACGCUUAGGAUGUUGAAUCUGUGCGAGACUAC
This 775-nucleotide ribosomal RNA is filed under the name uncultured Neocallimastigales. RNAcentral describes it as "partial large subunit ribosomal RNA". It matches the Rfam family "Eukaryotic large subunit ribosomal RNA", at positions 26 to 644 of the family's 3401-position model. Lineage: Eukaryota; Fungi; Neocallimastigomycota; Neocallimastigomycetes; Neocallimastigales. The record is from RNAcentral.